UGCAAGGUGAGGACUUUAGCUGCUAGGCUACCAGGCCAGGCCCAAAAUUUAGCAUUUUUAUUUAAAAACUUACAUAGUCAGUAACAAAAAUAUUGGGAAAUGGAUAAAAGAAUAAAACUACAAAAAACCCUAUAAUCCCAUUAUAUUAAUAGAAUCGUUAUCUGCUUAGGUUUUCCUCACAUUUUAAAAUUAUAGUAAUUAUAAUUGUGUAGUUUUGUGGAACUGUAGUCACUGAACUUGUAUUUGGUGUUUUGAUGCAGAAAUGCAGACAGAAAAGAGUGUUGAGUGUGAACUUUUGAGUCAAUAUUAAGGUUUCAUCGUGCUAGCAAAGUAGUCAUGAUGUGAGGCGAAGUUCCGUGGUAUUUGAGUUUGUUGAGCUGAUAACGGCAGUUUUGCCCCCUGUGAAGACGCAAGCAUUUACCGAUUGUUUUCACCCGUAGGGAGCCCAGACACAGAAGCACAGACUUGGUCAAUUUACCCAUUAGGAAACUGCUCCUGCUACCCAGAGGAAGUUAGGGCGUCUGCUUGCUGUGUGUUCCUGUUCAGGGCAGACACUGUCUGCUGUACUGGGACCGAGUAGAGAGAAGGCCAGACAAGGGGAACAGUAAAGCAAGGGUGGUUUCAAACUCAGUGGCAAGGGAGUCGUUGUGACACGCUUCCAGUUGCUCUGGCUAGAAACUCCAGCAUGAUGCUGAGUAGACGCCUUGGCAGCACACGCUGCUCUGUCCCUUGGCUUUGGGAUCAAUUUGUUGAGAAUUUCAUCAGUAUCACACUGAUGAUUCUGCGGUUUUACAGAACUUUUUAAACACCAGGCUUUGGAGAGCUUUGGAGAAGAUUGAAAAUUGGAGAUGAGGAGUGGACCCAAUUCAGAUGAUCAACAUCUCUUCAAAAAGUUGUAUCACUGGAUUCCACUCAAGGCAGAGAAAUUUAACAAUGGAAUACCUUGAACCCAGGUACUUCAAUAAGGAUGUGGAUGUUGCAAGCAGCACCUUACCUGCAGUGCCAAACAUCUGUCCCUCCCUGAUUCUACAAGCUUGAAAGGUACAGUUGAAUAGAAGACCCUACUUCUAUGUUGGAAAGCAAAGAAUCAAAAAUAAUCUGGGAAUGGAAAGGUAGUGUGGCCUCAGUCAGCAUUCAUUCAUUACUGUCUUAUUUUUCUGACUGGAUCCUAGGCUACUGUGUUAGAGAAGAACACACUCUUUGAAGCUUGCAACUUGAUUGUAAAUACUAGCAUUGGAGAGAUGCUGUAACUGGAAAUUAAUUCUAUAAUCAGAGCAGUCAUUCUGGUCAGCUCCUUUGGCUGUAUGAGAUGGUAACUCAGUCCCUGCCUGAGCCUGAGUAAAAUAUGUAAGAGCAUAGGGUUCUGCACAUCCUGUCCUCUGUCACCACAGUGGACUCAAGUGCAUGGUGUGUGUGUGUUGAAUAUUUAUACAUGUUACAUGUUUCUGAUCAAUAAAAUCAAUGUGAAUAUUUACACACGUUACAUGUUACCUGGAGAGACCAAUGGCUUUAAGAGCCCCAAGAAGAUAGACAAUGGAGAGAUUAACUUGUGGGGCAGAAAGUAGCCAAGAAACAGACCUAAAAGUUCUACCAAAAUGUGGAGACACAAAGGGCCUGUGGUUCACUAUCAGACAU
This is a long non-coding RNA of Ochotona curzoniae (black-lipped pika), 1635 nucleotides long. RefSeq lists it as uncharacterized. The record is from RefSeq and is a predicted model, not a curated record. The transcript has 5 exons. NCBI's taxonomy places the organism in Eukaryota, Metazoa, Chordata, Mammalia, Lagomorpha, Ochotonidae.